Molecule: transfer RNA, 77 nt
Filed under: Patescibacteria group bacterium
Lineage: Bacteria
Description: tRNA-Arg
Rfam family: tRNA
About the family: Transfer RNA (tRNA) molecules are approximately 80 nucleotides in length. Their secondary structure includes four short double-helical elements and three loops (D, anti-codon, and T loops).
Source: RNAcentral
GCCCGCGUAGCUCAGUGGAUUAGAGCACUGGUCUUCGGAACCAGGGGUCACAGGUUCAAAUCCUGUCGCGGGCACCA